This 354-nucleotide ribosomal RNA is filed under the name Bifidobacterium adolescentis. Its description in RNAcentral is "bacterial SSU rRNA". It matches the Rfam family "Bacterial small subunit ribosomal RNA", at positions 159 to 523 of the family's 1533-position model. The record is from RNAcentral. Lineage: Bacteria; Bacillati; Actinomycetota; Actinomycetes; Bifidobacteriales; Bifidobacteriaceae.
GGUGGUAAUGCCGGAUGCUCCAGUUGGAUGCAUGUCCUUCUGGGAAAGAUUCUAUCGGUAUGGGAUGGGGUCGCGUCCUAUCAGCUUGAUGGCGGGGUAACGGCCCACCAUGGCUUCGACGGGUAGCCGGCCUGAGAGGGCGACCGGCCACAUUGGGACUGAGAUACGGCCCAGACUCCUACGGGAGGCAGCAGUGGGGAAUAUUGCACAAUGGGCGCAAGCCUGAUGCAGCGACGCCGCGUGCGGGAUGACGGCCUUCGGGUUGUAAACCGCUUUUGACUGGGAGCAAGCCCUUCGGGGUGAGUGUACCUUUCGAAUAAGCACCGGCUAACUACGUGCCAGCAGCCGCGGUAA